RNAcentral lists this ribosomal RNA (266 nucleotides) under uncultured bacterium. RNAcentral describes it as "partial 16S ribosomal RNA". It matches the Rfam family "Bacterial small subunit ribosomal RNA", at positions 524 to 788 of the family's 1533-position model. The record is from RNAcentral.
UACGUAGGUGACCAGCGUUGUCCGGAUUUACUGGGCGUAAAGAGCGCGCAGGCGGUCGUUCAAGUCGAGUGUGAAAGCCCCCGGCUCAACUGGGGAGGGUCACUUGAUACUGAUCGACUGGAAGGCAGGAGAGGGAAGCGGAAAUUCCCGGUGUAGUGGUGAAAUGCGUAGAUAUCGGGAGGAAACACCAGUGGCGAAGGCGGCUUCCUGGCCUGUUCUUGACGCUGAGGCGCGAAAGCGUGGGGAGCAAACAGGAUUGAGAACCA